AUUGAACGCUGGCGGCAGGCCUAACACAUGCAAGUCGAGCGGAUGAAGGGAGCUUGCUCCUGGAUUCAGCGGCGGACGGGUGAGUAAUGCCUAGGAAUCUGCCUGGUAGUGUGGGAUAACGUCCGGAAACGGGCGCUAAUACCGCAUACGUCCUGAGGGAGAAAGUGGGGGAUCUUCGGACCUCACGCUAUCAGAUGAGCCUAGGUCGGAUUAGCUAGUUGGUGGGGUAAAGGCCUACCAAGGCGACGAUCCGUAACUGGUCUGAGAGGAUGAUCAGUCACACUGGAACUGAGACACGGUCCAGACUCCUACGGGAGGCAGCAGUGGGGAAUAUUGGACAAAGGGCGAAAGCCUGAUCCAGCCAUGCCGCGUGUGUGAAGAAGGUCUUCGGAUUGUAAAGCACUUUAAGUUGGGAGGAAGGGCAGUAAGUUAAUACCUUGCUGUUUUGACGUUACCAACAGAAUAAGCACCGGCUAACUUCGUG
RNAcentral lists this ribosomal RNA (484 nucleotides) under uncultured bacterium. Its description in RNAcentral is "partial 16S ribosomal RNA". It matches the Rfam family "Bacterial small subunit ribosomal RNA", at positions 30 to 507 of the family's 1533-position model. The record is from RNAcentral.